UACGUAGGACGCAAGCGAUGUCCGGAUUUAUUGGGUUAAAAGGGCGCGUAGGCGGCCUAUCAAGUUAGUGGUGAAAACGUUCGGCUUAACCGGACGCCCGCCAUUGAUACUGAUAGACUUGAGUGCGACAGAGGGUGUUGGAAUGUGUGGUGUAGCGGUGAAAUGCUUAGAUAUCACGCAGAACACCAAUUGCGAAGGCAGAUGCCUAUGUCGUAGCUGACGCUGAGGCACGAAAGCGUGGGGAGCAAACAGG
Molecule: ribosomal RNA, 253 nt
Filed under: uncultured bacterium
Lineage: Bacteria
Description: partial 16S ribosomal RNA
Rfam family: Bacterial small subunit ribosomal RNA
Source: RNAcentral